AGGAAUUUAGGUUAACUUAGACCAAGGACCUUCAAAGUCCUAAGCAAGUACUCAACACUUAAUUCCUG
RNAcentral lists this transfer RNA (68 nucleotides) under Marmota flaviventris (yellow-bellied marmot). RNAcentral describes it as "tRNA-Trp". Lineage: Eukaryota; Metazoa; Chordata; Mammalia; Rodentia; Sciuridae. The record is from RNAcentral.